Molecule: long non-coding RNA, 460 nt
Filed under: Gorilla gorilla gorilla (western lowland gorilla)
Lineage: Eukaryota; Metazoa; Chordata; Mammalia; Primates; Hominidae
Description: lncRNA (ENSGGOG00000044680.1)
Source: RNAcentral
CCUUGAAUCGACUGGAAACAUGACACCGGUUCCAUGCUCUGGAACUGUCACCUGUGAUGUGCUGGGCUGUGUCCCAAGCACAGGAAUCCCAGCAGUUUCAGCUCAAUGCAGAACCACCAUGCUCCAGACACAGGCUUGGGAAAGACACAUCAAAAUUAAAAUACUAGGAGGUGGCAGGUGUACAUUUCUGGCUCUGAGCCCAUGUCGGACCCUGGAAGGAGACCCCACUGUCCUGAUCCCCUGCACGGCACCCCACCACAAGCAGCAGGCACACGCGGUGGGAAUCAGAAACGUUGUACAGAUAAAAUGAAAUAGCUCAUGUGGUCACGUGCUCAUAGUUAACAACACUUGACGCCACCAAGUCCGCGGAAAGAUGCUCAACACCACUAAUCACGAGGCAAGUGCAAACCAAACCCAUCAUGCACCAGGCUGGCCACUGUCAAAAAACAGAAAAUAACAG